RNAcentral lists this ribosomal RNA (253 nucleotides) under uncultured bacterium. RNAcentral's name for it is "partial 16S ribosomal RNA". It matches the Rfam family "Bacterial small subunit ribosomal RNA", at positions 524 to 776 of the family's 1533-position model. The record is from RNAcentral.
UACGUAGGGUGCAAGCGUUGUCCGGAAUUAUUGGGCGUAAAGAGCUCGUAGGCGGUCUGUCGCGUCGGAUGUGAAAACCCAGGGCUCAACCCUGGGCCUGCAUUCGAUACGGGCAGACUAGAGUUCGGUAGGGGAGACUGGAAUUCCUGGUGUAGCGGUGAAAUGCGCAGAUAUCAGGAGGAACACCGGUGGCGAAGGCGGGUCUCUGGGCCGUAACUGACGCUGAGGAGCGAAAGCAUGGGGAGCGAACAGG